This 497-nucleotide ribosomal RNA is filed under the name uncultured bacterium. RNAcentral's name for it is "partial 16S ribosomal RNA". It matches the Rfam family "Bacterial small subunit ribosomal RNA", at positions 28 to 507 of the family's 1533-position model. The record is from RNAcentral.
GAUGAACGCUGGCGGCGUGCCUAAUACAUGCAAGUCGAGCGAACAGGCGAGGAGCUUGCUCCUCUGACGUUAGCGGCGGACGGGUGAGUAACACGUGGAUAACCUACCUAUAAGACUGGGAUAACUUCGGGAAACCGGAGCUAAUACCGGAUAAUAUAUUGAACCGCAUGGUUCAAUAGUGAAAGACGGUUUUGCUGUCACUUAUAGAUGGAUCCGCGCCGCAUUAGCUAGUUGGUAAGGUAACGGCUUACCAAGGCAACGAUGCGUAGCCGACCUGAGAGGGUGAUCGGCCACACUGGAACUGAGACACGGUCCAGACUCCUACGGGAGGCAGCAGUAGGGAAUCUUCCGCAAUGGGCGAAAGCCUGACGGAGCAACGCCGCGUGAGUGAUGAAGGUCUUCGGAUCGUAAAACUCUGUUAUUAGGGAAGAACAAAUGUGUAAGUAACUAUGCACGUCUUGACGGUACCGAAUCAGAAAGCCACGGCUAACUACGUG